CUAUACGACUUACUACUUUCC
Molecule: microRNA, 21 nt
Filed under: Cavia porcellus (domestic guinea pig)
Lineage: Eukaryota; Metazoa; Chordata; Mammalia; Rodentia; Caviidae
Description: Cpo-Let-7-P2b3_3p* (star (passenger))
Source: RNAcentral